This 165-nucleotide ribosomal RNA is filed under the name uncultured bacterium. RNAcentral's name for it is "partial 16S rRNA". It matches the Rfam family "Bacterial small subunit ribosomal RNA", at positions 355 to 511 of the family's 1533-position model. The record is from RNAcentral.
UAGGGAAUCUUCCACAAUGGGCGAAAGCCUGAUAGAGCAACGCCGCGUGUGUGAUGAAGGGUUUCGGCUACGUAAAACACUGUUGUAAGAGAAGAAUGACAUUGAGAGUAACUGUUCAAUGUGUGACGGUAUCUUACCAGAAAGGAACGGCUAAAUACGUGCCAC